UUAAAGCCCUUAAUCUCAAAUUCGUCCGCCGUGAAGCUCUAUCUUCACGUUGACGGAAACACACCCAAUUCCAAAUGGAUUGUAUCCGAUAAGGUCACUUCAUAUUCCUUCAUCAAGACCCCCAAAAUUGAAGAAUCAGAAGGUGAAGAGGAAAAUGUUGAUGAGGGGGAGAAAGAUGCUUGGUGGGUAUUGAAGAUUGGGUCAAAAAUUCGCCGUUGUCGUAGCCUCUCUUCCCCGUCGCCGUCCCUCUCUUCCACCGUCGUCGUCCCUCUGCUCCUGUCUCCCUCAAGUUUGGUACAUUUUCCCAAUUCAAUAUUCCCCCAAUUUUCCCUAAAUAUAACCCUAUGAAAAAUUCUUCUAAAAUUUCAGUCUCUCUGUCUCUCUUAAUUUGUUUGUGCUUUCAAUUAGUAAGUUCAUCAUUUCUGUGAGAAGCAAAUACUACUAUGUUUUGGUUCUUUGAGUUAAACUUGGAUUAUCAAUCUCUACCCGCAUUGUACAUAGAGCUGCCGACAUGCGUUAAUUUGUGGAUUAAUAUUACCGUUGAAGGUAUAAAUUGUUUAUCAAUUUAGUUGACAUAGUGCUCAAUAUCAAAUCGCAUGACUUGAUUAUCUUUUUAUGAUAAACAAUACAACCAUGGUGAAGCAAUGGAACAAGAAAAAUUGGCAUACUUUUAACUAGUUUUGGAAUCUUCAAUAUAUAUAGUAGCGGUCUAGCAUGCAUCUGAGAGGUAAGUAGGUAACUCCCUUGCUUGCUUUGUAGAGUAAGCCAUCAAUAAGUUAUUUUUUCUUCAAAGCCACCACUGAGAGGUAAUUGCAAUCUCUAAGCUACUAAGUUAAUCAUUUCAAUCCUCUUUCCAUUCCAUUUUCGUGCCACUAAUGAUCUGUUAUGGCCGAAUGGCCUGGAUUAGACAUAAGGGACAGUUGUGUUAUUUUUGAGUUGCUAGGUUGACUAUUUAGGAUUAAUUUAGUUAGCAUGCUAUUGUUGUUUUGUUAUGACUGCAUAUGGGUG
RNAcentral lists this long non-coding RNA (1008 nucleotides) under Panax ginseng (ginseng). RNAcentral describes it as "long non-coding RNA (PGIN_LNC017995)". The record is from RNAcentral. Lineage: Eukaryota; Viridiplantae; Streptophyta; Magnoliopsida; Apiales; Araliaceae.